RNAcentral lists this ribosomal RNA (213 nucleotides) under Clostridioides difficile. Its description in RNAcentral is "partial 23S ribosomal RNA". It matches the Rfam family "Bacterial large subunit ribosomal RNA", at positions 191 to 405 of the family's 2925-position model. Lineage: Bacteria; Bacillati; Bacillota; Clostridia; Peptostreptococcales; Peptostreptococcaceae. The record is from RNAcentral.
AACUGAAACAUCUAAGUACCUGAAGGAAGAGAAAGAAAUUCGAUUCCGUAAGUAGCGGCGAGCGAACGCGGAUUAGCCCAAACCAAUAAAGUUUUCUUUAUUGGGGGUGCGGACAUAUCAUAACGAAGAGGUAUCGUAAUUGAAGAGGUUUGGAAAGACCCACCACAGAAGGUAAUAGUCCUGUAUGUUAAACGAGAAGACUUUAGAUAUGAU